RNAcentral lists this long non-coding RNA (450 nucleotides) under Mytilus galloprovincialis (Mediterranean mussel). Lineage: Eukaryota; Metazoa; Mollusca; Bivalvia; Mytilida; Mytilidae. The record is from RNAcentral.
UGGGGACUCAAAAAACUUAUUUAAUCACACAUACACGGGCUAACUCAUGGUUGUCAUCAUCUAGGUGUUAGUCUUGUUAGUGUUUUCCCGUUUCUGAUAUAUUGUAGAAACAACUGUUUAUUGUUUAAAGGUUUAUGUUGACUUUUACAAAUAUCUUUUAAGUUGUCGAUUGUUUUCAGUUGAUGUUUCAUUGAUGUAUUUCUUCCAUCUCUAUUUGCUGUUAGGGGUAUAAGAGUUGUUUCCUUUCGUUUGAUGUGUUUGAGCUUUUGAUUUUGCCAUUUGAUUACUUUCUGUUUUGAAUUUUCCUUUGAUUUCGGUAAUUUUGUUAUUUUACUUUUUUAUAUUAUCUAUUGGCUCGUAGAUAUUUUUAUCUGCGUGUCUUCAUCAUUUAGUUUUAGUAGACUCCUUAUGUACCAUAUGAUUUUAUAUUUUCCUUCUACAGAGAAUAUG